Molecule: long non-coding RNA, 348 nt
Organism: Balaenoptera acutorostrata (minke whale)
Lineage: Eukaryota; Metazoa; Chordata; Mammalia; Artiodactyla; Balaenopteridae
Exons: 3
Source: RefSeq, a predicted model, not a curated record
AAAACAACCAUCAAAGAAGUUUCAAUGUGGAUGCUUGUUUAUCUGUAACGUGAGGGUGUGUAGCACAGUUACUGUGGUCACUACUGAGGAGGAAUAGGGAGGAGUCAUGGCCAAGUUGCCUUGAUCUUGUCGUUAUGGAGACAGACGUGCCGGGCUUCAUCACAGGGCUGCUUUCCUCCAGCAGACGGAGCCUAGCGAGACAGGAGGCUUUGACCACAUCUCUGUUCAACCCAGUUCUCUAGAGAAGGCCCCACCCCUGGACUUUCUCCUGGCAUAUGAUGGAGAACGCUUGACUGACUGGAGUUGCUGGGUCCCUGUUCAAAAUUAGUUGAGGGUGGCUUCCCUGGU